RNAcentral lists this long non-coding RNA (505 nucleotides) under Gallus gallus (chicken). The record is from RNAcentral. Lineage: Eukaryota; Metazoa; Chordata; Aves; Galliformes; Phasianidae.
GGUUUGCACGCUGCUUGUGAACAUUUACUGAAAGUUUGUAUUGCAGCAGGUGGCAAAAUACAACAUGUGAUAUUGUUCCUGUCUUCUGUCAGAAUGGAUUAUGAGUAACCAGAAAAUUUGGGCAUUUGGAUUUGAAAAGAAGUUAUCUGCUGAAAUUCAAAGACAAAUUUCCAUAUGUUACAAAAUUGAAAUCAAAAUUCCAUAAGGCACUCGCUCCAUCCCUCCAGCCAUCAUCCCAAAAGCAAAGGGGUUCAGUUUGUUCAGGUGGAGCUCGCUUUCUCCACCCCCAGUGCCAGCAAAUCUGUUUGGUGUGGGAGGACGGUGGAGCGUGCCGCCCACAGCCACCUGCUCUGCCGGAGGGCCCGCAGCCUUGCCAGCACUGUGCCAAGGCACCAGCUCGGGGUGGGAGUCUGCAGGAGGCACGGAUCAGCUGGGAGGUGUGCUGCUCUGCUUCUCCCUUGCUUGCGGAUGACCUUUGCUGAUAAAGAUUAGCCAGAGGCUUUUG